Long non-coding RNA from Oreochromis niloticus (Nile tilapia), 446 nucleotides. RefSeq lists it as uncharacterized. Lineage: Eukaryota; Metazoa; Chordata; Actinopteri; Cichliformes; Cichlidae. The transcript has 2 exons. The record is from RefSeq and is a predicted model, not a curated record.
GUAAGCUCCACCCCCCUGCAGGCUUCAGUAGCUGAAUUUAACUUUCUCGAUGUCGGCGAUCAGAUUCCUGGCCAGGUAGAUCCCCACCAUCUGCUCAGAGACACAUCAGCAAAACAUGACAUCAUCAAAAUACCCUGGAGGGAUGAGGCUGAUGACUGAUCCUCAGGCAGCACUGCAUUAAAAACCGACAUAAUUCUGUGAUGGAAACCAGUCACCCUGCACAUCUGGAAAGGCUCCAUCAGUGCAGAAAGGUACAAACAGGUUCUAGAGCCACAUCUGCUCCAUCCAGAUGUGUUCUUCAGGAAGGCCUUCAUGUCCGAUCAGGACCAUGCUAAACUGCAUCUAUUCCAUCAGCACGGCUCUGCAGAAGAAGAGUCCGGCUGCUGAACCGGCCCGAAUGCAGUUCAGAGCUUUUACACCAACAACAGGAUGAAGCCAGAGCCAGA